GAAACCGGGGCUAAUGCCGGAUAACAUGUUGAACCGCAUGGUUCAACAGUGAAAGACGGUCUUGCUGUCACUUAUAGAUGGACCCGCGCCGUAUUAGCUAGUUGGUAAGGUAACGGCUUACCAAGGCAACGAUACGUAGCCGACCUGAGAGGGUGAUCGGCCACACUGGAACUGAGACACGGUCCAGACUCCUACGGGAGGCAGCAGUAGGGAAUCUUCCGCAAUGGGCGAAAGCCUGACGGAGCAACGCCGCGU
This 255-nucleotide ribosomal RNA is filed under the name Staphylococcus hyicus. Its description in RNAcentral is "partial 16S ribosomal RNA". It matches the Rfam family "Bacterial small subunit ribosomal RNA", at positions 153 to 402 of the family's 1533-position model. Lineage: Bacteria; Bacillati; Bacillota; Bacilli; Caryophanales; Staphylococcaceae. The record is from RNAcentral.